This is a long non-coding RNA of Vespa velutina, 1056 nucleotides long. RefSeq lists it as uncharacterized. Lineage: Eukaryota; Metazoa; Arthropoda; Insecta; Hymenoptera; Vespidae. The record is from RefSeq and is a predicted model, not a curated record. The transcript has 2 exons.
UGUAAAGAAUUAUCAUCGCAGAGAGAAACGAUGCGACCCUGUCGUCAAAUAUCGCGAUAUGUAUUUUCAUAUAAUAUUUAUGGAAAAAGAUGGAAAAAAAGAAAAAGAAAAAGAAAGAAAGAAAAACAAAAGAAAAGAAAAAGAGAAAAGAAAUGAUCGAUCCAAUCAAACAACAUAAUAAAUUGUUAGAAUAAAAUCAUGAACUGUUUCAUUAUCUUAUCAGACACAAGAUUCGCUCAAGAAAUUAUCAAGAUAACCGAUUGUAAGUAUUAGUACCGUCCUCGGUAUUGUGCAAACACUGUGAGAAUACGUUCUCGAUCGAUCUUAAAAAUGAGAAGCAAAUCUAGCGUUGGUCGUUCUAGGAAAUCUAAAUAAAUACACCUAUCCCCGGUUAUCUCGUUUUUUUUUUUUAUGUCUUUUUUUUUCCUUUUUUUUUUUAGACAUCUCACGAGAAACGCGAGUACAAAGAUAUACGAAGAAAUAUAAAAGACAUUGAGAAAAAGUCGUACUUUCGUUCUAUUAUUAUUAUUAUUGUUAUUAUUAUUAUUACUUUUAUUAUUAUCAUUAACAAUAACACCAACUUUCUAUUAUUCUAUGAAGCCUGUAACAUUCAAAUUCACAAUGAAAUUUCAUUAGAUUAUUUUAAUCGUCAUUCCAUUAUAACGAGUUUAUCUUUAUUAUAACGGAGUUCUAAAAAUAAAUUUUACUUAGAAAAAGAAGCUUUUUGCAAUUAACUUAUGAAUACGUUUAAGAGUAUUAUGUUACGAAAUGAAACACGUACGAAUGUGCAUAAGCGAAUAUGUCGUGUAUUUACCUGUGAUUAUGCAACUUACAAACUGGCGCCCUAUAUACAAGAUAUCUUAUUACAUACAUUCGCACUGUGUGCGCGACUUUUGAAACUUUGACUUUAGUUUCGCUGAGUUCUCGAUGAAAGAUCCAUAAUCUUACGUUGGGUGAAGAAGAGUUGUUCAACGCGAAGAAUCAUUGCCAAUGAUUCGCGUGAAUCAUACUAUAUCUUUCUACUACUAAAGAGAAGGAAAAAGAAACAAAACAAAA